CUCAGGAGUCAUACUACAUGAGCCUGGACCCAGUGGUUCUUUAUGUGGAAACAGAUGUCAGCUAUAGGUAACCUGGUAACUGCUAUUUUCUUCAUCUGCUCUGUCAAAAAAGGUAUCAGUGACUUGCAGGAGAUGCCUUUAAUACUCAGAGCAUUCUAUCUCCUCCUAUCUGGUUUAGAAGGAAGGCCUUCAUUAGUUACCUAUUGAAAAGUUACCAGAAUUCUCUAUUAGAGAUUUACCCUCUUGACCUGAUAAAAAGGGAUAUCCAUGUCUCUGUUAACAGCUUUAUCUCUUUCUACAGUUGUGGGUAUUUGAUAAGGUUAAGGCAAAAUUUUAGUUAUGCUUAAGGAGGAGUUCUUUUUUCACAAUUAUAGAGAAAAUUUUGGUUUGUUGAAGAUUGCAGAAAUAGAAAUGGUAAUAUAAGACAGUUUUGGCUUUUCAUUUUUUUCUUGAAACUCUACAGUAUACUACAAUAGUGAAGGAAACUAUUAACAUGAGAGAUCCUUCUGAAUAGGAUGUCUUUCUGAGUUCCACUAUUCGGUUACAGAACUCCUUAAUGCUUAAAAUUCAUUAUGAAAAUUAGAUUUAUUUUAAAUACUUUCAAGUGUAUACAUUUUUAUUUCAUAAUUUUUAUUCUGUUUGUCUUUUAACUAAAGCAUUUAGUUCAUUUAUAUUUACUGUGUACAUUUUAUAUUUAAUAUAUUUAUAUUUGCU
This 714-nucleotide long non-coding RNA is filed under the name Pongo abelii (Sumatran orangutan). Its description in RNAcentral is "lincRNA". The record is from RNAcentral. Lineage: Eukaryota; Metazoa; Chordata; Mammalia; Primates; Hominidae.